UACAGAGGGUGCGAGCGUUAAUCGGAAUUACUGGGCGUAAAGCGUGCGUAGACGGUUUCGUAAGUCGGGUGUGAAAGCCCCGGGCUCAACCUGGGAAUUGCAUUUGAGACUGCGUAGCUAGGGUGCGGAAGAGGGAAGCGGAAUUUCCGGUGUAGCGGUGAAAUGCGUAGAUAUCGGAAGGAACACCAGUGGCGAAAGCGGCUUCCUGGUCCAGCACCGACGUUCAGGCACGAAAGCGUGGGGAGCAAACAGG
RNAcentral lists this ribosomal RNA (253 nucleotides) under uncultured bacterium. RNAcentral describes it as "partial 16S ribosomal RNA". It matches the Rfam family "Bacterial small subunit ribosomal RNA", at positions 524 to 776 of the family's 1533-position model. The record is from RNAcentral.